This 1726-nucleotide long non-coding RNA is filed under the name Homo sapiens (human). RNAcentral describes it as "HSALNT0026422". The record is from RNAcentral. Lineage: Eukaryota; Metazoa; Chordata; Mammalia; Primates; Hominidae.
CUCCCUCACACUCCUUCCGCUUCUUGCUCCGGCUUCUGCCGCCUUCCCCAAUGAAUUUCUGAAAUGAAAGGAGCCUAUUCCCUGCCUUUCCACCAGUGCAGAAUGAAAAUGAGAGCAAGGAACAGCAGAGCACAGGGUCUUGCUCUGAGUGAAUGCACCCCUCGUGCACCCGGGAGCUGAGAUUAAUAAUGAAUAUAAGAAAACGUUUGUGAAAAUUAACUGCAAGUGAUUGGGAAGCUUGUGUGUAUUGGGCUUUGGUUUGUUUCAAAGAUCAUCCAAAUCAGAAUCUGAGCUUAUUAAAAUGCUGUUUCCUGGACAGACCUCAGCCUGCAGAAGCAGAAUCUCCGUGGUGGGAUCCAGAGCUUGUAUCUUGGCCAAGCCCUCCCAGAAGUUUCUAACAUACACUGAAGGUUCUCCUGCUUCAAGAGCCAAGAUCCUCAGGCACAAAAUCAGGCAACAGGAGUCCUGGGCUCUGCCCUUGCUUGUGGAGUUCUGGAAACGAAUGCAUUUGGAGUAGGUGAUGUUUAAUGAUCCUUUCUGUUCUCAAUUCCUGUAAUACAAAUAAACAAUAAAAUACUUACAUCUUUAUUAUUUACAUUAUAGUUUAAAGUUGUAUAUAUUGAUGCAAACAAUUAGGUAAGAUAAAAUAAACAGAAAAAAUAACAGAUUUAUUCAUCAGAAAAUAUGAUCUAUUCAUCAGAGAAUGUCAAAGAAAUCCAAGAAAUGUCUUUGUAUGAGGAAAAUGAGCAAUUGUGGAUUUUACCAAAGGAUUAGAGACACUGGGUUUUCUUCAAAUCUGUCUGUGAGGCUUUCAAAGGGCAGGGCCUCAGCCCAGAGCACAUGCUUGGUACACACAUGCAUCAGUGGUUCCUUGAGCUGUAUUAAAUUCAUGGAGAGAAAAAAAUCAAGGUCAACUUGUGCUUUUUUCCCCGACUGUAAAGGUUUUGCCUGUAAUCCCCUGCUUUAUGUGAAUAAUUUGUUUCACAUGAGUUGAAUACUGUUUAAACAAGCCAAGUAUCACAUUCCUUUUGUCUGAAUAGCUGUAGAGGACAUAUUUUAAGGUAAACUAAUUAAGAAUGGGCUUUCAAAAGGCCUAUUUUUAAGAAGGUGAAAAAUCAAGAGAUAGGAAGUGUUGUCUGGGUAAAGUCAAGCAACGUGAAAGCCGGUUGGAAUGUUUAUGACCAGCUCCCUCUCACUGUGGUCCGAGGGCCAACCUGAACACAAAUUCUUCUUGUGCUAGGAGCGGGGUUUGGGGUUGUAAUUUGAUCCUUUCAAUUAUACAGCAAAUGCAGCCACUGUGAAUUGUACCAGGACUAUCCAGCUUCCACAGUGCAUGACUAUACUGAUAUUCUCCUGCAGAAAAUGAAAUCUUCCAGACUGCCAUUGGUUCUGGCCAUUUGAAUGUUAAAUAUGGGUAAUAACUGCAGUGGUUUACACUCAAAUAUUUAGAAAAUGCUCUUUAGCAAUCCUAACGAAAAUCAGAUGUACCUUGCCCCAGCCCCACAUAAGCACUUCUGUAAAUGUCAUUUGUAAGUCUACAGCUUGCUUUUCUGUCAAGAAAUGCAUGCCGCUUUUGGGGAAUAUUUUCAAUUUACAAUCCAUUUUCACCUGCGAGCCUCUAGAAUGAUUGCUGGGGAAUGGGAUUUUUUAGAUGGUUUAGGCCAUUUCCGACUAUUCCAUGGCAUGGCCCAGAAUUUUGUGAAUUACAAAGAAGUUAAGAUCAGCA